GUCGAACGAUGAUGCCCAGCUUGCUGGGUGGAUUAGUGGCGAACGGGUGAGUAACACGUGAGUAACCUGCCCUUGACUUCGGGAUAACUCCGGGAAACCGGGGCUAAUACCGGAUAUGAGCCGCCUUCGCAUGGGGGUGGUUGGAAAGUUUUUCGGUCAGGGAUGGGCUCGCGGCCUAUCAGCUUGUUGGUGGGGUGAUGGCCUACCAAGGCGACGACGGGUAGCCGGCCUGAGAGGGCGACCGGCCACACUGGGACUGAGACACGGCCCAGACUCCUACGGGAGGCAGCAGUGGGGAAUAUUGCACAAUGGGCGAAAGCCUGAUGCAGCGACGCCGCGUGAGGGAUGAAGGCCUUCGGGUUGUAAACCUCUUUCAGCAGGGAAGAAGCGCAAGUGACGGUACCUGCAGAAGAAGCGCCGGCUAACUACGUGCCAGCAGCCGCGGUAAUACGUAGGGCGCAAGCGUUGUCCGGAAUUAUUGGGCGUAAAGAGCUCGUAGGCGGUUUGUCGCGUCUGGUGUGAAAACUCGAGGCUCAACUUCGAGCUUGCAUCGGGUACGGGCAGACUAGAGUGCGGUAGGGGAGACUGGAAUUCCUGGUGUAGCGGUGGAAUGCGCAGAUAUCAGGAGGAACACCGAUGGCGAAGGCAGGUCUCUGGGCCGCAACUGACGCUGAGGAGCGAAAGCAUGGGGAGCGAACAGGAUUAGAUACCCUGGUAGUCCAUGCCGUAAACGUUGGGCACUAGGUGUGGGGCUCAUUCCACGAGUUCCGUGCCGCAGCAAACGCAUUAAGUGCCCCGCCUGGGGAGUACGGCCGCAAGGCUAAAACUCAAAGGAAUUGACGGGGGCCCGCACAAGCGGCGGAGCAUGCGGAUUAAUUCGAUGCAACGCGAAGAACCUUACCAAGGCUUGACAUGCACGAGAAGCCACCAGAGAUGGUGGUCUCUUUGGACACUCG
This 956-nucleotide ribosomal RNA is filed under the name Cellulosimicrobium sp. RNAcentral's name for it is "bacterial SSU rRNA". It matches the Rfam family "Bacterial small subunit ribosomal RNA", at positions 61 to 1030 of the family's 1533-position model. Lineage: Bacteria; Bacillati; Actinomycetota; Actinomycetes; Micrococcales; Promicromonosporaceae. The record is from RNAcentral.